This 406-nucleotide ribosomal RNA is filed under the name uncultured bacterium. RNAcentral's name for it is "partial 16S ribosomal RNA". It matches the Rfam family "Bacterial small subunit ribosomal RNA", at positions 29 to 526 of the family's 1533-position model. The record is from RNAcentral.
AUUGAACGCUGGCGGCAGGCCUAACACAUGCAAGUCGAGCGAGCGGCGGACGGGUGAGUAAUGUCUGGGAAACUGCCUGAUGGAGUGGGAUAACUACUGGAAACGGUAGCUAAUACCGCAUACCAUCAGAUGUGCCCAGAUGGGAUUAGCUAGUAGGUGGGGUAACGGAUCACCUAGGCGACGAUCCCUAGCUGGUCUGAGAGGAUGACCAGCCGCACUGGAACUGGGAAACGGACCAGGGUACUACGAGAGGCAGCAGGGGGGAAAAUGGCACAAUGGGCGCAAGCCUGAUGCAGCCAUACCGAGUGUGUGAAGAAGGCCUUCGGGUUGUAAGGCACUUACAGCGGGGAGGCGUUACCCGCAGAAGAAGAACCGGCUAGCUGCGUGCCAGCCGCCGCGGUAAUAC